GGGCGGUUAGCUCAGGGGGAGAGCACUACCUUGACACGGUAGGGGCCACAAGUUCAAAUCUUGUACCGCCCACCA
This 75-nucleotide transfer RNA is filed under the name Coriobacteriaceae bacterium. RNAcentral's name for it is "tRNA-Val". It matches the Rfam family "tRNA". Rfam says of the family: Transfer RNA (tRNA) molecules are approximately 80 nucleotides in length. Their secondary structure includes four short double-helical elements and three loops (D, anti-codon, and T loops). Lineage: Bacteria; Bacillati; Actinomycetota; Coriobacteriia; Coriobacteriales; Coriobacteriaceae. The record is from RNAcentral.